ACUUAAAUUGAAGAGUUUGAUCAUGGCUCAGAUUGAACGCUGGCGGCAGGCCUAACACAUGCAAGUCGAGCGGUAGCACAGAGAGCUUGCUCUCGGGUGACGAGCGGCGGACGGGUGAGUAAUGUCUGGGAAACUGCCUGAUGGAGGGGGAUAACUACUGGAAACGGUAGCUAAUACCGCAUAACGUCGCAAGACCAAAGUGGGGGACCUUCGGGCCUCAUGCCAUCAGAUGUGCCCAGAUGGGAUUAGCUAGUAGGUGGGGUAACGGCUCACCUAGGCGACGAUCCCUAGCUGGUCUGAGAGGAUGACCAGCCACACUGGAACUGAGACACGGUCCAGACUCCUACGGGAGGCAGCAGUGGGGAAUAUUGCACAAUGGGCGCAAGCCUGAUGCAGCCAUGCCGCGUGUGUGAAGAAGGCCUUCGGGUUGUAAAGCACUUUCAGCGGGGAGGAAGGCGUUAAGGUUAAUAACCUUGGCGAUUGACGUUACCCGCAGAAGAAGCACCGGCUAACUCCGUGCCAGCAGCCGCGGUAAUACGGAGGGUGCAAGCGUUAAUCGGAAUUACUGGGCGUAAAGCGCACGCAGGCGGUCUGUCAAGUCGGAUGUGAAAUCCCCGGGCUCAACCUGGGAACUGCAUUCGAAACUGGCAGGCUAGAGUCUUGUAGAGGGGGGUAGAAUUCCAGGUGUAGCGGUGAAAUGCGUAGAGAUCUGGAGGAAUACCGGUGGCGAAGGCGGCCCCCUGGACAAAGACUGACGCUCAGGUGCGAAAGCGUGGGGAGCAAACAGGAUUAGAUACCCUGGUAGUCCACGCCGUAAACGAUGUCGAUUUGGAGGUUGUGCCCUUGAGGCGUGGCUUCCGGAGCUAACGCGUUAAAUCGACCGCCUGGGGAGUACGGCCGCAAGGUUAAAACUCAAAUGAAUUGACGGGGGCCCGCACAAGCGGUGGAGCAUGUGGUUUAAUUCGAUGCAACGCGAAGAACCUUACCUGGUCUUGACAUCCACAGAACUUUCCAGAGAUGCUUUGGUGCCUUCGGGAACUGUGAGACAGGUGCUGCAUGGCUGUCGUCAGCUCGUGUUGUGAAAUGUUGGGUUAAGUCCCGCAACGAGCGCAACCCUUAUCCUUUGUUGCCAGCGGUCCGGCCGGGAACUCAAAGGAGACUGCCAGUGAUAAACUGGAGGAAGGUGGGGAUGACGUCAAGUCAUCAUGGCCCUUACGACCAGGGCUACACACGUGCUACAAUGGCAUAUACAAAGAGAAGCGACCUCGCGAGAGCAAGCGGACCUCAUAAAGUAUGUCGUAGUCCGGAUUGGAGUCUGCAACUCGACUCCAUGAAGUCGGAAUCGCUAGUAAUCGUAGAUCAGAAUGCUACGGUGAAUACGUUCCCGGGCCUUGUACACACCGCCCGUCACACCAUGGGAGUGGGUUGCAAAAGAAGUAGGUAGCUUAACCUUCGGGAGGGCGCUUACCACUUUGUGAUUCAUGACUGGGGUGAAGUCGUAACAAGGUAACCGUAGGGGAACCUGCGGUUGGAUCACCUCCUUACCUUAAAGAA
RNAcentral lists this ribosomal RNA (1554 nucleotides) under Klebsiella pneumoniae. RNAcentral's name for it is "bacterial SSU rRNA". It matches the Rfam family "Bacterial small subunit ribosomal RNA". Lineage: Bacteria; Pseudomonadati; Pseudomonadota; Gammaproteobacteria; Enterobacterales; Enterobacteriaceae. The record is from RNAcentral.